This 253-nucleotide ribosomal RNA is filed under the name uncultured bacterium. RNAcentral's name for it is "partial 16S ribosomal RNA". It matches the Rfam family "Bacterial small subunit ribosomal RNA", at positions 524 to 776 of the family's 1533-position model. The record is from RNAcentral.
CACGUAGGGCGCAAGCGUUGUCCGGAAUUAUUGGGCGUAAAGGGUGCGUAGGCGGCGCGGUAAGUCGGGUGUGAAAUUUCGAGGCUUAACUUCGAAACUGCAUUCGAUACUGCCGUGCUUGAGGACUGGAGAGGAGACUGGAAUUUACGGUGUAGCGGUGAAAUGCGUAGAUAUCGUAAGGAAGACCAGUGGCGAAGGCGGGUCUCUGGACAGUUCCUGACGCUGAGGCACGAAGGCCAGGGGAGCAAACGGG